This 614-nucleotide ribosomal RNA is filed under the name uncultured Sphingobacteriales bacterium. RNAcentral describes it as "bacterial SSU rRNA". It matches the Rfam family "Bacterial small subunit ribosomal RNA", at positions 28 to 670 of the family's 1533-position model. Lineage: Bacteria; Pseudomonadati; Bacteroidota; Sphingobacteriia; Sphingobacteriales. The record is from RNAcentral.
GAUGAACGCUAGCGGUGCGCCUAACACAUGCAAGUCGAGCGUGAUUAGAAGAUAGCUUGCUAUUUUCUAUGAAAGCGGCAAACGGGUGAGUAAUAAGUUGGUACCUACCUCCAAGUCAGGGAUAGCCCAGGGAAACCUGGAUUAAUACCGGAUGUGUCCUACGGGAUAAAGAUUUAUCGCUUGGAGAGGGGCCUGCUUCCUAUCAGUUAGUUGGUGAGGUAAUGGCUUACCAAGACUAUGACGGGUAAUUGGUCUGAGAGGAUGACCAGUCACAAUGGAACUGAGACACGGUCCAUACUCCUACGGGAGGCAGCAGUGAGGAAUCUUCCACAAUGGGCGAAAGCCUGAUGGAGCGACACCGCGUGAAGGAUGAAGGCUUUGUUGUUGUAAACUUCUUUUCUGUGGGAAGAUAAUGACGGUACCACAGGAAUAAGGGACGGCUAACUACGUGCCAGCAGCCGCGGUAAUACGUAGGUCCCAAGCGUUAUCCGGAAUUACUGGGUGUAAAGCGUCUGUAGGCGGAUAGGUAAGUUUUGUAUAAAAGACCGGAGCUCAACUCCGUGUUUGUGCAAAAAACUGCCUGUCUAGAAUUAGGGAGGGGUAAGCGGAAUGGU